Molecule: ribosomal RNA, 788 nt
Filed under: uncultured Actinomycetes bacterium
Lineage: Bacteria; Bacillati; Actinomycetota; Actinomycetes
Description: bacterial SSU rRNA
Rfam family: Bacterial small subunit ribosomal RNA
Source: RNAcentral
ACUCGAGUGGCGAACGGGUGAGUAACACGUGGGUGAUCUGCCUUGCACUUCGGGAUAAGCUUGGGAAACUGGGUCUAAUACCGGAUAGGACAGCUGUUUAGUGUCAGUUGUGGAAAGUUUUUUCGGUGCAAGAUGAGCUCGCGGCCUAUCAGCUUGUUGGUGGGGUAAUGGCCUACCAAGGCGUCGACGGGUAGCCGGCCUGAGAGGGUGUACGGCCACAUUGGGACUGAGAUACGGCCCAGACUCCUACGGGAGGCAGCAGUGGGGAAUAUUGCACAAUGGGCGGAAGCCUGAUGCAGCGACGCCGCGUGGGGGAUGAAGGCCUUCGGGUUGUAAACUCCUUUCGACAGGGACGAAGCGUAAGUGACGGUACCUGUAUAAGAAGCACCGGCUAACUACGUGCCAGCAGCCGCGGUAAUACGUAGGGUGCGAGCGUUGUCCGGAAUUACUGGGCGUAAAGAGCUCGUAGGUGGUUUGUCGCGUCGUCUGUGAAAUUCCGGGGCUUAACUCCGGGCGUGCAGGCGAUACGGGCUGACUUGAGUGCUGUAGGGGAGACUGGAAUUCCUGGUGUAGCGGUGAAAUGCGCAGAUAUCAGGAGGAACACCGAUGGCGAAGGCAGGUCUCUGGGCAGUAACUGACGCUGAGGAGCGAAAGCAUGGGUAGCGAACAGGAUUAGAUACCCUGGUAGUCCAUGCCGUAAACGGUGGGCGCUAGGUGUAGGGGGCUUCCACGUCUUCUGUGCCGUAGCUAACGCAUUAAGCGCCCCGCCUGGGGAGUACGCCGCAAGG